Molecule: non-coding RNA, 25 nt
Filed under: Rattus norvegicus (Norway rat)
Lineage: Eukaryota; Metazoa; Chordata; Mammalia; Rodentia; Muridae
Source: RNAcentral
UACCUGAACAGCAGGUUAGAGCUGG